This 253-nucleotide ribosomal RNA is filed under the name uncultured prokaryote. RNAcentral's name for it is "partial 16S ribosomal RNA". It matches the Rfam family "Bacterial small subunit ribosomal RNA", at positions 524 to 776 of the family's 1533-position model. The record is from RNAcentral.
UACAGAGGUCUCAAGCGUUGUUCGGAUUCACUGGGCGUAAAGGGUGCGUAGGUGGUAGGGUAAGUCGGAUGUGAAAUCUCGGAGCUCAACUCCGAAACUGCAUUGGAAACUACCCAACUUGAGGGUCGGAGGGGGGACUGGAAUUCUCGGUGUAGCAGUGAAAUGCGUAGAUAUCGAGAGGAACACCAGUGGCGAAGGCGAGUCCCUGGACGACUCCCGACACUGAGGCACGAAAGCUAGGGGAGCAAACAGG